CAUGUGUAGCGGUGAAAUGCGUAGAUAUAUGGAGGAACACCAGUGGCGAAAGCGGCUCUCUGGUCUGUCACUGACGCUGAGGCUCGAAAGCGUGGGUAGCGAACAGGAUUAGAUACCCUGGUAGUCCACGCCGUAAACGAUGAGUGCUAGGUGUUAGGCCCUUUCCGGGGCUUAGUGCCGGAGCUAACGCAAUAAGCACUCCGCCUGGGGAGUACGACCGCAAGGUUGAAACUCAAAGGAAUUGACGGGGGCCCGCACAAGCGGUGGAGCAUGUGGUUUAAUUCGAAGCAACGCGAAGAACCUUACCAGGUCUUGACAUCCCGAUGCUAUUCUUAGAGAUAGGAAGUUACUUCGGUACAUCGGAGACAGGUGGUGCAUGGUUGUCGUCAGCUCGUGUCGUGAGAUGUUGGGUUAAGUCCCGCAACGAGCGCAACCCUUAUUGUUAGUUGCCAUCAUUAAGUUGGGCACUCUAGCGAGACUGCCGGUAAUAAACCGGAGGAAGGUGGGGAUGACGUCAAAUCAUCAUGCCCCUUAUGACCUGGGCUACACACGUGCUACAAUGGUCGGUACAACGAGUUGCGAGCCGGUGACGGCAAGCUAAUCUCUGAAAGCCGAUCUCAGUUCGGAUUGGAGGCUGCAACUCGCCUCCAUGAAGUCGGAAUCGCUAGUAAUCGCGGAUCAGCACGCCGCGGUGAAUACGUUCCCGGGCCUUGUACACACCGCCCGUCACGCCACGAGAGUUUGUAACACCCGAAGUCGGUGAGGUAACCUUUUAGGGGCCAGCCGC
Molecule: ribosomal RNA, 787 nt
Filed under: uncultured bacterium
Lineage: Bacteria
Description: bacterial SSU rRNA
Rfam family: Bacterial small subunit ribosomal RNA
Source: RNAcentral